Molecule: ribosomal RNA, 450 nt
Filed under: Triticum aestivum (bread wheat)
Lineage: Eukaryota; Viridiplantae; Streptophyta; Magnoliopsida; Poales; Poaceae
Description: partial small subunit ribosomal RNA
Source: RNAcentral
AUGCCCCGCCGCGCCGCGAAUGCAGCAGAGAUGUCCUCCCUUGCCGCGGUGGCCUGGGAAAAUGCCUUGCGGGCAGGCGAGGACUCUUACAGGCGCAUGUGUGCCCUCGUCCUUAGGCAGAUGGAUCAGAUCUCCAGGCGGGAGAGGUUGCAGGAUGACCUGAAAGCCUUAUUUGAACAGUCUACCGACGUCAUCCGGCAACUAAAUGGGAGCAAUGCGAAGCUCUGGGCCGAGCGUGACCUGCUGAGGGCGAAGAUCGUCGGAAGUGCGGAGCAGCAGGAGCAGACCACUGCCUUGUUGAAGAGGACCGGCGUCAUCGUCGAGAAACUCAUGGAUGAGAAUGCCAUGCUGAACAUCGAGCGCAGAAGGCUGGUGGAGGAAUCCGUGGAUGCUCUCAAGCAGCAUCUUGAGGACAAGAAAGAGCUCAUCGCCGCUCGCCGCGGAGACUAG